AUUGAACGCUGGCGGCAGGCCUAACACAUGCAAGUCGAGCGAGCGGCGGACGGGUGAGUAAUGUAUGGGGACUGCCCGAUAGAGGGGGAUAACUACUGGAAACGGUGGCUAAUACCGCAUACUAUCGGAUAACCCAUAUGGGAUUAGCUAGUAGGUGGGGUAAAGGCUCACCUAGGCGACGAUCUCUAGCUGGUCUGAGAGGAUGAUCAGCAACACUGGGACUGAGAGACGGCCCAGACUCCGACGGGGGCAGCAGUGGGUAAUAGUGCACAAUGGGCGCAAUCGUGAUGCAGCAAUGACGCGUGUAUGAAGAAGGCCUUAGGGGUGUAAAGUACUUUCAGCGGGGAGGCGUUACCCGCAGAGGAAGCACCGGCUAACUCCGUGCCAGCAGCCGCGGUAAUAC
RNAcentral lists this ribosomal RNA (403 nucleotides) under uncultured bacterium. Its description in RNAcentral is "partial 16S ribosomal RNA". It matches the Rfam family "Bacterial small subunit ribosomal RNA", at positions 30 to 526 of the family's 1533-position model. The record is from RNAcentral.